Molecule: RNA transcript, 4993 nt
Organism: Colias croceus (clouded yellow)
Lineage: Eukaryota; Metazoa; Arthropoda; Insecta; Lepidoptera; Pieridae
Gene name: guanine nucleotide exchange factor DBS-like
Exons: 20
Source: RefSeq, a predicted model, not a curated record
GGUAUCCGUAGUAAAAUAAGUCGCUGUCUUAUCGGUAGGUCUUCGUUCUUCAAGCUUAAAUUAAAAUACGUAAUGAUAAAAAUAUAAAUUAAUAGCAGUUACAAUGACUGUUAAUAACAUAUUGUGUUAUUUACCAGAAAAUACAGUUUGUCGGUAUCGUCAUUUUUAUUUUGGUAUUUCGAAAAUUAUUAAUAUUUAAUCCAAAAUGUCAUAGUCCGAAAACAGUGUUGUGUUUGUUUGCGGUGUUUCGGUGGUAACGAUGGCUAACUCCCCGACAAGUAUUGAGACGCAAAUAGACAGUUUCUUAGAACAAUUCAAACGAAGUGCUUCCAAAGCCAUGGAAGAACGUAUGGAAUGGCCUGAUGGUCCAUCGCCUAGCGCAGUCGUCAAAUCACGCAGUAGCUGUUUUGCUUUAGAUUCUGCUUCUGAAGCGGAAUGCGACGGCUGCAGCAGCGACAAUGACGAAGGUCGAACCGUGGGGGAGCUGCUGCUGCCCCAGUACGCGCUGGCCACGGGCGGGCUGGCGCGGGACCAUCGCCCGCUGAUCACCUUCCCUGAUAAUAAUAACUUCCACGUCCUCACAGCCACGGAGUACAGGCGGCUGCUGCUUUACCUCACUUCUGUGCCCUCAUUGUUAGAAGCGGAAAUGGGUUUCCAUAUAAUAAUAGAUCGACGGAAAGACAGAUGGAACUCAGUGAAAGCAACAUUAUUAAGAAUAUCCGAAUUUUUCCCGGGCGUAAUCCACGCAGUAUACGUGCUCCGACCGGCCAGUUUCCUACAAAAGGCCCUCUCUGAAGUUAGCAGCAAGUUGUUCAAGGAAGAGUUCAGGUUCAGGGUGCUCGUGUGUUCCACUGUGGACGAGUUGUAUGAACACUUCGACAAGUCACAGCUCACACCAGACUUGGGGGGCGAGUUACAGUACUCACACUCGGAAUGGAUACAGCAACGGAUAGCGCUAGAGAAAUUUUCGACUCUAAUGAAGGAAAUCUCGACGAAACUGGACGACUUCAUGCACGAGAUCGUAGAUUGCGACAUGGGCAAUGAUCCCACUCAAACCAAAGAAUUGUUAGAUUGUCAAGAAUCUAGUUAUAAAACUUUAAAAACUGAACUAGCGUCGGCGACAUCGCAAGGCGAAGAGUUGCUGACGCAAGUGCGAAAACCAAAUCUUACAUAUAAUAUUAUAAGUCACGUGGCUGCUGUGGAGAGGCUACUUGUACAACUUGAAGAGACUGAAAAACAAUUUGAUAAUUUCUGGAAGAAACAUUCAAUGAAAUUAAACCAUUGGCUGAAAUUUAGAACAUUUUUAUUAAAUUUUAAACAAAUGCAGGCGACUUUAGAUACACAUUUAAAGACAGCAUGCGAUAUGACUGAAGUGGGAGAAACUGCAAAUAGGGUCGACGGUCUUCUAGAAGAGGCUAGUGAAUUUGAAAAAUUAUGUAACUGUGAUCUCGAUGCCGCAUCAUUAGUAAUUGAUGAGGGUGAAAAAUUAAUGCAAGAUCCUUUAAGUUCAUUGGACCAUAUAGAAUCGAAGUGUGAAGAAUUAAGACGAACUAGCGCUUUACUAAUCGAUAAAAUACAAAAACGAAAUUUACUUUUAACAAAAGCAAGAGAGCUUAUGGAUAGAAUAGAUAAGGCAAACGAGUGGUGCACAACAGGAGUAGAAAUAUUAGCAGGAGAAGGAGGACUUAUAGCUGUAGAUAAGUUAUUAGAAGACGCAAAAAGCUUUGGGCUUACGUCACCCGAUGAAUUCAGAGACAUGCUUAUGCAGACUGCAACGCAAGAAACUAGAGCGCUUGUUACACAGGUGUCACAACGGGUGGAAGACGUGUGGCUGAUGGUAACUGUGAAGCGUGCGACGUUACAGCGGGCGGCGGCAAAACCCGCGCGCCCCGUGCAGUCUGUACCGCCGCAGACCGCCGCGCUGCAGCUGCCCGUCGAACAGAUGGAGACGUCAGGCGGGUCAGAGAGCUCUGGGGGCGAAGACGCAGAGGCUCGGCGGUCCAGGCGCGGCCACGUGUUGGCUGAACUCCUUCAAACGGAGAGAAUUUACGUACAAGAACUAGGCUCCAUACUGGCUGGCUAUAAAGAAGAAAUGGAAAAACCAGAAAACCAACACAUACUACCGGCAGGUCUAGUUGGACAGGCGGAUGUACUAUUCGGAAAUCUACACGAACUAUUCACAUUCCACCAAGAAGUAUUUUUAAAGGAUUUGGAAAAAUCGAUCUCAGCGACAGAACUUGUUGCACUCUGCUUUGUUGAAAAGAAAGAAACAUUCUACCACCUAUACAGUUACUAUUGCCAAAACAUACCCCGUUCGGAGCGGCUGCGAGAGACAUUAGUCGACACGCAUCUAUUCCUUCAAGCGUGCCAGCAGCGGCUCGGACACAAGCUGCCCUUGGCGGCCUAUCUGCUCAAACCGGUGCAGAGGAUUACUAAAUACCAACUGUUGAUAAAGGACCUGCUCCGCUACAGCGAGUGCGGGUCGAUGAGCGCGAGCCUGCAGCAGGCGCUCGACUGCAUGCUCGUCGUGCUCAAGUGCGUCAACGACUCCAUGCACCAGAUCGCCAUUACUGGGGUGCCUGUGGAUUUAAACCAGCAGGGCGAGUUGUUACUCCAAGGCUCUUUCCUGGUGGUGUCGGAGAACAAGCGCGACCUGCGGCUGCGCCUGCGCCCGCGCCGCAGACACAUCUUCCUCUACGAGAAGGCGAUGCUCUUCUGCAAGCCGGCUGCUAAGAACAGCCAUAAUAAGACGUACCAUUUUAAACAUGACUUGCAGAUGUCGCAAAUAGGUCUAACAGAAUCAGUGAAGGGCGACCCGCGCAAGUUCGAAGUGUGGCGGCAGGGGCGCGCGGAGGUGCACACGAUCACGGCGCCGUCGGCCGACGCCAAGCGCGCCUGGGUGGAGCGCAUCAAGCGCGUGCUGCUCGACCAGCUGCACGAGCUCAAGGGCGAGCGCGGCCGUCAGUACGCGGCGCACCACAGAACACUCAUCCAAACGAGUUCCUGGGACAUCGGUCCGCCAAAGGAACGUCCGCACCCCGGCGUGCACCCGCGCACCGCCUCGUGCGAUGCGCACGACGAGCCGUGCUGGUCCACCGACCCGUCCGACGACGACGAGGAGGAACCCAUACACGCGCCGGCGGUGGGCAGCUCGCUAGUGGCGCUGUCGGAGUACGCGGCGGUGGGCGCCAGCGAGGUGUCGCUGCGCGAGGGGCAGCACGCCGAGCUGCUCAAGGUGGGCUGCGCGGGCUGGUGGUACGUGCGCCUCGCAGGUACGUAGCGGGUGGUACAGUACGCGGCGGUGGGCGCCAGCGAGGUGUCGCUGCGCGAGGGGCAGCACGCCGAGCUGCUCAAGGUGGGCUGCGCGGGCUGGUGGUACGUGCGCCUCGCAGGCGGCGGCGAGGGCUGGGCGCCGGCCGCGUACCUCGACACGAGGAAGACGUCGCGCUCCUCCAGCCGCUCGCACGAACACUAGCCUUCAAGUGCUACAAGCGUACAACACUACAGUAUUGGCAUUCACUUCCAUCUGUAUUCCACCAAUACGGGAAUACCAGAUCUACCCAUGGCCAGUGCCGGCGUGAGGGCCACUGACACCCCGGGCGAAAAUAUUAUGGCGCCCACUUGAGGGAAGCAAUAUCAAGUAUUAGGUUAACCAAAUUCAGACCUUGGCGCCCCCCAGAAUUUGUCGCCCUGGGACAUUGCCCCCUCUGCCCCCCCCCCCCCCCCCCCCUCCUAACGCCGGCACUGCCCAUGGCUGUCGAAGUUACUCGUUUCGUGAAACAUUUGUUGUGUUAAUAAAUUGUUCAAAAUUCUCUUCCUGACAAUUUUGAUAUCGAACGUUUUUGGUGUUAUGUUAUGGCAUAAAAUGCAUUCUUUCGAAACGGUGCCUGAUCUUUUUCAAGUUUUACGUGUAAAUAAAUUGGUGUUAUUUAGUUUCUUUGCAUUAUCGUGGAGUUAUUUUUAUACCUAAAGUGAGCCUUACAUUAUAACAAAUUUAAUAGUAGAAUUUGGAUUGUACACUUUAGUGGUUUGUACCUUCGAUGGAUUUGUACGGAAUUGUCAGUUUUAAACAAGACUUUUGCUAAAUGGAUAUUUAAGGUAACAGCUGAAAAUAUUUACCCCUUAUUCAAAAUGUUAAUGCAAUCUUAAUUGAGUUUAAUAAGGGACUAAAUAUAAUAAAUCCAAUAAAUAUCGAAGCUUUGUUUCGAAACUGAUAAUUCCGCGUCCCCUUGUAACGUGUCGCGUACCAACAAGCGCCUCCCACUUGUUACUGUUAAUAUACAAUAAGUAAUAACAUUGUUUUUAUAUGUAUGUAAAUGUUGUUCUUAAAGCUUUAUUGUAAUUAGUGUUAAACGUGUGCACGAGUAUCCAAAGCUAUGUAGUGGCGUAGUUGUUGACGGCCGUUCGUUUCGUACUUUUGUAAAUAUUGUUUAGAAUGUAGUAAUUUAUUUGAAAGCUAGACGAGUUUUAUGUCUCAAAUGUCCAUGACAGAAUCUGUAGAUAGAUUAAUUCUUACAUAGAUGUACAUUUCACGAUGCGACAAUACACCUCCGUAAAUUUCUUCCUACAGUCUAUUAAGCAUAAUAGUAACUUUUAAAUAAUAUUAAUACACUAAGAGACAAUAAUUUUUUUAAAUUGUGUGUCGUGAAAUGUAAACGAUUAGGAUUCUAAUAUUCAUAGCUAUCAGUGGAAAGUGUUUUCAUAUCCAUGUGUAAUCAUAUCAUUGUCGCUUUGCGUUGAAUAUAUUAAAAAUAUAUUUUGGAGUAUUUGUGAGUGAAACGCUGGUGCAUGUUUGCUUUUUGGUGUUCAGAAUACGUACUAGUCGGUAUACAUUAGUGUCGGUGUUAAAAUGUUAAUUGUCAUGUAAAAUCAGUAGACGUUAUUUUAUUUUGUAUCUCCUGAAAUCAUUGUGAAAAUGCAUUUUCUUUUGAAUUAGUUAUACAUUGUAAUUGAAAAACAAAUGAACUUAAUUACAUGGAUUUUUGCCCAUUUC